This 77-nucleotide transfer RNA is filed under the name Candidatus Saccharimonadota bacterium. RNAcentral's name for it is "tRNA-Val". It matches the Rfam family "tRNA". Rfam says of the family: Transfer RNA (tRNA) molecules are approximately 80 nucleotides in length. Their secondary structure includes four short double-helical elements and three loops (D, anti-codon, and T loops). Further hydrogen bonds mediate the characteristic L-shaped molecular structure. tRNAs have two regions of fundamental functional importance: the anti-codon, which is responsible for specific mRNA codon recognition, and the 3' end, to which the tRNAs corresponding amino acid is attached (by aminoacyl-tRNA synthetases). tRNAs cope with the degeneracy of the genetic code in two manners: having more than one tRNA (with a specific anti-codon) for a particular amino acid; and 'wobble' base-pairing, i.e. permitting non-standard base-pairing at the 3rd anti-codon position. Lineage: Bacteria; Candidatus Saccharimonadota. The record is from RNAcentral.
GGGCGAUUAGCUCAUUUGGCUAGAGCGUAGCAUUGACGUUGCUAAGGUGAUAGGUUCGAAUCCUAUAUCGCCCACCA